CUGAGCGCGUUUGUUUGUCCUUGGCUGUGUGCCGUGAGGGGGCCGUGAGUUGGGUGGGGUGAAAUGGAACAGCACCUCCAUCGGGCAGGUGGCAAGCCGCGGCAAGAUCAAAGCGAACGACUGCAGACGGAGUCACAUGGCAGCAGUGCUGCUGCUGUGUGCGGCAUUGGGUUGCGCCGGCCUGGAGAAGAGAGAUCCGCGCUUCUUCAAGCUAAUGUUCUAUGAGAAUACUGCUGGCUUGUCGUGUCCUGCACAGCUGAAUGGCUGCGCCCUGG
RNAcentral lists this long non-coding RNA (275 nucleotides) under Pollicipes pollicipes. Its description in RNAcentral is "uncharacterized LOC119104884, transcript variant X1". Lineage: Eukaryota; Metazoa; Arthropoda; Thecostraca; Pollicipedomorpha; Pollicipedidae. The record is from RNAcentral.